Small nuclear RNA from Otolemur garnettii (small-eared galago), 141 nucleotides. Its record names the gene U4. It matches the Rfam family "U4 spliceosomal RNA". Rfam says of the family: U4 small nuclear RNA (U4 snRNA) is a component of the major U2-dependent spliceosome. The structure of U4 snRNA from yeast and human has been reported. U4 snRNA presents a k-turn RNA motif in the 5p-SL related to recognition of Snu13 protein. The record is from Ensembl. Lineage: Eukaryota; Metazoa; Chordata; Mammalia; Primates; Galagidae.
AGCUUUGCACAGUGACAGUAUCAUAGCCAAUGAGGUUUAUCCAAGGCGCAAUUAUUGCUAAUUGAAAACUUUUCCCAAUACCCUGCUGUGAUGACUUGCAAUAUAGUCCACACUGGCAAAAAAGUAAAUAAAUGUCACAUG